This 483-nucleotide ribosomal RNA is filed under the name uncultured bacterium. RNAcentral describes it as "partial 16S ribosomal RNA". It matches the Rfam family "Bacterial small subunit ribosomal RNA", at positions 28 to 507 of the family's 1533-position model. The record is from RNAcentral.
GACGAACGCUGGCGGCGUGCUUAACACAUGCAAGUCGAACGCUGAAGCUCAGCUUUUGUUGGGUGGAUGAGUGGCGAACGGGUGGGUAACACGUGAGUAACCUGCCUCCUUCUUUGGGAUAACGCCCGGAAACGGGUGCUAAUACUGGAUAUUCACUGGUCUUCGCAUGGGGGUUGGUGGAAAGGGUUUUUCUGGUGGGGGAUGGGCUCGCGGCCUAUCAGCUUGUUGGUGGGGCGAUGGCCUACCAAGGCUUUGACGGGUAGCCGGCCUGAGAGGGUGACCGGUCACAUUGGGACUGAGAUACGGCCCAGACUCCUACGGGAGGCAGCAGUGGGGAAUAAUGCACAAUGGGCGCAAGCCUGAUGCAGCGACGCCGCGUGAGGGAUGGAGGCCUUCGGGUUGUGAACCUCUUUCGCUCAUGGUCAAGCCGCAACAAUGGUUGUGGUGAGGGUAGUGGGUAAAGAAGCGCCGGCUAACUACGUG